UCAGAUGGCCGGAUGGCCGCUGGUCAUUCGCAAGGAUGGCUGGAGGAAAGUCCGGGCUCCACGAAAACACGGUGCCGGAUAAUGUCCGGCGGAGGCAACUCCAGGGAUAGCGCCACAGAAAUGACACCGCCUACCGGCCUAAAGCCGCGGCAAGGUUGAAAUGGUGCGGUAAGAGCGCACCGCGCCUUCGGUAACGAAGGCGGCUAGGCAAGCCCCACCGGGAGCAAGACCAAAUAGGGAUGGCACGUAAUCCGUUUUCGGAUAGCCGUCCGGGUAGGUCGCGUGAGGCGUUCGGUAACGAACGUCCCAGAGGAAUGGCCAUCCCUUCAGCAAUGAAGGACAGAACCCGGCUUACAGGCCAUCUGACGCA
Molecule: RNase P RNA, 370 nt
Filed under: Alphaproteobacteria bacterium
Lineage: Bacteria; Pseudomonadati; Pseudomonadota; Alphaproteobacteria
Description: RNase P RNA component class A
Rfam family: Bacterial RNase P class A
About the family: Ribonuclease P (RNase P) is a ubiquitous endoribonuclease, found in archaea, bacteria and eukarya as well as chloroplasts and mitochondria.
Source: RNAcentral